GGAGUUUGGGCCGUGUCUCAGUCCCAAUGUGGCCGGUCACCCUCUCAGGUCGGCUACUGAUCGUCGCCUUGGUGGGCCGUUACCUCACCAACUAGCUAAUCAGACGCGGGCCCAUCCCAUACCACCGGAGUUUUUCACACCGAGCGAUGCCGCUCUGUGCGCUUAUGCGGUAUUGUCAGUCGUUUCCAACUGUUAUCCCCCUGUAUGGGGUAGGUUGCCCACGCGUUACUCACCCGUCCGCCACUCGGUUACAGCUCGUCACCCCGAAGGGAUCGUGAAAAGUAACCUCGUUCGACUUGCAUGUGUUAAGCACGCCGCCAGCGUUCAUC
Molecule: ribosomal RNA, 329 nt
Filed under: uncultured Lachnospiraceae bacterium
Lineage: Bacteria; Bacillati; Bacillota; Clostridia; Lachnospirales; Lachnospiraceae
Description: partial 16S ribosomal RNA
Source: RNAcentral